UUGGAGACCUCAAAUCAGGUAGGACUACCCGCUGAACUUAAGCAUAUCAAUAAGCGGAGGAAAAGAAACUAACAAGGAUUCCCCUAGUAACUGCGAGUGAAGCGGGAAAAGCUCAAAUUUGAAAUCUGGCGGUUCUUGACCGUCCGAGUUGUAGUCUAGAGAAGUGUUACCUGUGCUGGACCGUGUAAAAGUCUUCUGGAAUGGAGCAUCAUAGAGGGUGAGAAUCCCGUCUUUGACACGGACUACCUGUACAUUAUGGUGCGCUCUCAAAGAGUCGAGUUGUUUGGGAAUGCAGCUCAAAAUGGGUGGUAAAUGCCAUCUAAAGCUAAAUAUUGGCGAGAGACCGAUAGCGAACAAGUACCGUGAGGGAAAGAUGAAAAGAACUUUGGAAAGAGAGUUAAACAGUACGUGAAAUUGCUGAAAGGGAAACGCUUGAAGUCAGUCGCGUUGGCUGGAAAUCAACCUUGCUCUUGCUUGGUGUACUUUCUGGUUGACGGGUCAGCAUCAAUUUUGACCACUGGAUAAAGUCUUUGGGAAUGUGGCAUCUUAGGAUGUGUUAUAGCCCAUUGUCGCAUACGGUGGUUGGGAUUGAGGAACUCAGCACGCCGCAAGGCCGGGUUUCGACCACGUUCGUGCUUAGGAUGCUGGCAUAAUGGCUUUAAUCGACCCGUC
RNAcentral lists this ribosomal RNA (672 nucleotides) under Inocybe auricoma. Its description in RNAcentral is "eukaryotic LSU rRNA". It matches the Rfam family "Eukaryotic large subunit ribosomal RNA", at positions 1 to 653 of the family's 3401-position model. Lineage: Eukaryota; Fungi; Basidiomycota; Agaricomycetes; Agaricales; Inocybaceae. The record is from RNAcentral.